RNAcentral lists this ribosomal RNA (253 nucleotides) under uncultured bacterium. RNAcentral describes it as "partial 16S ribosomal RNA". It matches the Rfam family "Bacterial small subunit ribosomal RNA", at positions 524 to 776 of the family's 1533-position model. The record is from RNAcentral.
UACGGAGGGCGCAAGCGUUGUUCGGAAUCACUGGGCGUAAAGCGCGUGUAGGCGGCUUGGCAAGUCGGGUGUGAAAUCCCGAGGCUCAACCUCGGAACUGCACUCGAAACUGCCUCGCUCGAGUCCCGGAGAGGGUGGCGGAAUUCCCGGUGUAGGGGUGAAAUCCGUAGAUAUCGGGAGGAACACCAGUGGCGAAGGCGGCCACCUGGACGGUGACUGACGCUGAGACGCGAAAGCGUGGGGAGCAAACAGG